This is a long non-coding RNA of Gasterosteus aculeatus aculeatus (three-spined stickleback), 2029 nucleotides long. Lineage: Eukaryota; Metazoa; Chordata; Actinopteri; Perciformes; Gasterosteidae. The record is from Ensembl.
CUCUUCUGCAGUGCACAGCCCUCUAACAGCCCUUGCACUACAGAUGGAUUCUACUGUAGCAGAGUCGGUAGCUGGAAAAAGUUGGAAAGGAUCAGCAGUGGAUGGAUGUAUAUGCAGAGUGUAUGGAUGGAUGGACAAACAGGCAAAUAUGUCGAAAGGAUCACAUCAGGAGAGCUCGUGCUCAGCAAUACUUGAACACUAGGCUGCAUGCACAUGUUUGCAUACUGCCGUUAGCUUCAGCCAAGCUCGUCCACUGAUGGCUGCCUUUCUGAUUCAAUCUCUGUUGGUGGGCGCAGAGCCUGGAGACUUCACUUGUCAGGGCCUUCUCUGAGACGCCCGCCUCCACCCUUCUCCAACUCACCCGCAAUUUCCCUGGCUCUCACCGUCCCUUCCACCGCCACCCGAUCCUCUUCCUCCGCCUCGGCGUCCAGCACGGCUCGUCCAACCGCUGUUUUGACAAGUGCUUUGGAGAUAAUGUCGCAAGGAACCCCUCCGUUGCCUGCCAAGAAAUGCUAACUAGCCAUAACAUCAAUUAGUCAGCAGGAGAAUGAGGUUGAAAAUGGUAGCUUGAAAUGUAAAUUGUUCCUUUUUCUGGCCAUUAAGGGGGGAGACCUGGACCCCAUCCUGAUUGACUGAGGGAAACAAUGCCAAAAAGAGAGAGGGGAGGGUGAGGCGAGGUAGAACGAGGAGGCAGAGUGGAAUUUCAUGGACUCGAUUAGCUGGGUUCAUGGACGCUGGGGUGAAAUGCGGAGCUUUUAAGGGGUGAGUUGAGUUUCGCGAGGUCCAUCCCUGGUGUAUUCCCCUCCCACUUAUCUUCGAUACCAUCAGUGUCAGCGGGGUUACGUUUCCCACAGGCGUUCAAUGGUUUCAUUGCCUGUUUUAACAUUUUACAAGACAAGUAAAGUCCUUUUACUUGUUACUCAAAGGUUUCCUUUCUCCGAUGGGUUCUGACUCAGUAAAAAUGUUGCUAAAAAUGUUAGAUCGGCAAAAGAAGAUGGAUACAAUAUUAAUUUUAUUCAAUUGAAUGCACAUUGUUGAUAGAUUCUCAAAUAUUUAUGUCAGUUAGAUGGAUUUUGUUCCACAGAUGGUAAAAGCUUUAUUGUAAAAUGAACAGAAAUGAGGUUCACAGAGAAUCAUCCAAAUAUUGCAAAACGUUACACUUAUUGAUGGAUGAUAUGGGUAACAAGCAGCGAACCCAUCAAGCUCUUAUAUAACUGCAAGAAGAAAGCCAUUGUAUUGUACGUGCUAACACAAAACAUAAGGGUAGAAGAGGAUUCAAGAAGAGUGCCCGGCAAUUGCUUUUAGAACAGCAAACCCAUGCUGUCAGCAGAGUAAUGAGAGUCUGUUUGGCUCCUCUCAGCCACAUGAGGAGAAUAGUGGAACGACUGACCCCGUCUCUUAGCAGUUAAAUGAUGUCUUCCAGCUUUCAGAAAGCCAUGUGGCUUACCAACAGAAAGUUCCCCUCCGAUAUCAUUGUUGUGAGCACACCAAGCUAUUGGCUUAGAUGUGCUUGGUGCAGUGAGUGGGGGAAUGGAGACAGGGCACAGUCCUGUAAAUUAACUGAUAUUUGUCUUAUUCUCUGCCAAAAAUAAACCUGGAUUUGAAAAUUGAUUCUUUGCAUAAAUGUCUGAAAUAAUAAACCUAGAUUCAUAAAUUACAGCUAUGUAUUGAGAAACGACUUUAAUUCCAACAUGUCACAAAUCUUGGUAGUUUCUUGUAACGUCUUUUUGGCAAAACGGUCGUAAUCAUGCCAAGAAUAUCAUGUGUUUCAUGUUUGAAGGAGUGGGAGGUUUCUGCUUGUGGUAAUGAUUUUGUUAAAUACCAUGCAACCUCUACAGGGGUUUAUUGGUAUUAGCACCAGGUUUUUUCCUCAACUAGCCACAGCACGAUCCUAUUACAAUCCAAUGAACUCUUUGGUAUCUCUUCCUGAGUGUACAUUUUAAUGGUGAAAUAAACUGUAGCAGUCAAAGAAGAAUGAGUCAUUUGUGAAUGGAGUCCGACCAGCAGUGUGGAUAUUUAUGCUUAAUUG